CAGUAUUUGGAAUCGACUCUUUAGUCCCCCGUCCGCCGUGUGCGCGCACCAGCAUCCAUAAUUCCAUAUCCGUUGCAGCGGUAGGCCAGAAGUUGCAAGGUGGCAAAUGGGGACGAAAAAUGGUUGGCGAUCGAGGGAGAGUAAAAAGGGUUGGGUGGCAUGGGAAUUGCCUGCGUCAAGGAAGAAGCAUCAACAUUAGCUCUGUCAGCAACCGGGAUCACCAGGCUUCCCAGCCGGAUCACAUCAGAAGACUGCAACACCUCUAAGGCGGGAUCAGGGCUAGGUUGUGCGUGUUCACGUUGAGAGGAUGAGAAGCAGGGUCUUCGGAUCCUCCAUCUCUU
This 341-nucleotide long non-coding RNA is filed under the name Setaria viridis. RNAcentral describes it as "long non-coding RNA (SVIR_LNC011068)". The record is from RNAcentral. Lineage: Eukaryota; Viridiplantae; Streptophyta; Magnoliopsida; Poales; Poaceae.